CCCCCCUUGGGUUGUGCCGUGGCGGAGAUCUUUGUGGGCUAUACUCGGCCUUGUCUCAGGAUGGUAAGUUGGUGUUUGAAGAUAUCCCUCUAGUGGUGUGGGGGCUGUGCUUUGGCAAAGUGGGUGGGGUUAUAUCUUGCCUGUUUGGCCUGUCCGGGGGUAUCAUCGGAUGGGGCCACAGUGUCUCCUGACCCCUCCUGUCUCAGCCUCCAGUAUUUAUGCUGCAGUAGUUUAUGUGUAGGGGGGCUAGGGUCAGUCUGUUAUAUCUGGAGUAUUUCUCCUGUCUUAUCCGGUGUCCUGUGUGAAUUUAAGUAUGCUCUCUCUAAUUCUCUCUUUUUCUCUUUCUUUCUUUCUCUCGGAGGACCUGAGCCCUAGGAUCUCAGGACUACCUGGCAUGAUGACUCCUUGCUGUCCACCUGGCCGUGCUGCUGCUCCAGUUUCAACUGCUCUGCCUGAGGCUAUGGAACCCUGACCUGUUCACCGGACGUGCUACCUGUCCCAGACCUGCUGUUUUCAACUCUCUAGAGACAGAAGGAGCGGUAGAGAUACUUUCAAUGAUCGGCUAUGAAAAGCCAACUGACAUUUACUCUUGAGGUGCUGACUUGUUGUACCCUCGACAACUACUGUGAUUAUUAUUAUUUGACCAUGCUGGUCAUUUAUGAACAUUUGAACAUCUUGGCCAUGUUCUGUUAUAAUCUCCACCCGGCACAGCCAGAAGAGGACUGGCCACCCCUCAUAGCCUGGUUUCUCUCUAGGUUUCUUCCUAGGUUUUGGCCUUUCUAGGGAGUUUUUCCUAGCCACUGUGCUUCUACACCUGUAUUGCUUGCUGUUUGGGGUUUUAGGCUGGGUUUCUGUACAGCACUUUGAGAUAUCAGCUGAUGUAAGAAGGGCUAUAUAAAUUGAUUUGAUUUUGAUUUGAUGACAGUCAAUUAUGGCUAAAAGCAGAAGCAUUUAUCCUGUAGCACAAGCUCACAUGUAGGUAGUAUUUUGCAUUAUUCCAAAUCAUACAUUUUGGGUCAGUUUAAUCUGUGAAGUAGUAAACAGGAUACAGAAUUGCAAAACCCAAACAAAUUAAAUGGUUGGUGGAAAUAUAAUUGUCUAUUCUAAGCAUUAAGGUUAAAAUACUAUAUAAACAUUAUUUCCAGAGAAAAGUUAUAUAUUAUUUGGUAUCUGGAACUGUGACCUUUCAGAUUCAAUGAAACUAAUGUUCUAUGACUGAGUGGAAUUUCUUUGAAUUGCACUUAAUUAAAUUCUACUUCCUGCCACUCAAACUCAAAUUAUACAUCAUGUGGGGUGUGGUCAAUUCAAUUAGAAUUUCAACUCAUGAGUUGAAUGGAAGUCAAUUCCAAAAUUCAGAAUUGAGCCCAACCCUGGUGAGAAUGUGUUUGUUAUUGUGUAGUUGAAUAAAUGCUUUUGAGUGUACAAUGUAUGCAUGCUUUUGAGUGUGUGUGUGUGUGUGUGUGUGUACUGCAAAUUAGCCUUAAACAUGUCCUUACGUGAUGCUGUCAUUAAGAUUUGUAUUGUCAAUCCAGACCCACUGUCCGUCUUACAUCGUUUCUGUCAGUCCAAUCCAGGGGAGUGUCUCCAACCCUCCUCAGUGAUGUAGUCAAGUCACUUAACCUCGAGCCUGAGUCGAGUCCCAAGUCCCUAGUAUUCUCAAGUCACGAGUCGAGUCAUGGAUACAGAUGUCCUCCGUCGCGGAUGCAGGCGUAUUGACUCUGUUCGUUGCUGGAGAAAUAGUAGCAUGAUCCAUUGAGAAACGCCAAGCCAGGAUAACAUUGUGCCUUCCCUCUCUCUUCUACGGAAGCAAUCUAAAUGUAAUUACUCACAGUACUAUAUCCUCUUAUGUUCAUGUUAAAUGUGUGUUCCCGUUUAAGAGUGCACAAGAGUUGUGGACAAGAAUCACCCCCCCCCCCCAACAUAAAAAAUAUUUUUACAUGACCCUCUGCUUGUAUUGUACACAUUUUGUUUUACCCUUUUACCCUCAUAAUAUACACAAAAAGGAUUACUGCACCACCACAAAUAACAAUAGCUGUAGCAACCCUGUGUUUAUAAACAUGGAUAUCGACAUACCCACUUUAGCAUGGUUUUGUGGCACAGUCGAUGCCACGCAGGGCUAUGGGCCAGAAGGUUGAG
RNAcentral lists this long non-coding RNA (2136 nucleotides) under Salmo salar (Atlantic salmon). RNAcentral describes it as "lncRNA (ENSSSAG00000087151.1)". Lineage: Eukaryota; Metazoa; Chordata; Actinopteri; Salmoniformes; Salmonidae. The record is from RNAcentral.